GAAGAACGCUAGCGACAGGCUUAACACAUGCAAGUCGAGGGGCAUCAUGAGGUAGCAAUACCUUGAUGGCGACCGGCGCACGGGUGAGUAACGCGUAUGCAACCUGCCCGAUACCGGGGUAUGGCCCAUGGAAACGUGGAUUAACACCCCAUAGUACUUUUAUCCUGCCUGGGAUGGGAGUUAAAUGUUCAAGGUAUCGGAUGGGCAUGCGUCCUAUUAGUUAGUUGGCGGGGUAACAGCCCACCAAGACGAUGAUAGGUAGGGGUUCUGAGAGGAAGGUCCCCCACAUUGGAACUGAGACACGGUCCAAACUCCUACGGGUGGCAGCAGUGAGGAAUAUUGGUCAAUGGACGUAAGUCUGGACCAGCCAAGUCGCGUGAGGGAAGACUGCCCUAUGGGUUGUAAACCUCUUUUAUAAGGGAAGAAUAAGUUCUACGUGUAGAAUGAUGCCUGUACCUUAUGAAUAAGCAUCGGCUAACUCCGUGCCAGCCGCCGCCGUAA
RNAcentral lists this ribosomal RNA (501 nucleotides) under uncultured bacterium. RNAcentral's name for it is "partial 16S ribosomal RNA". It matches the Rfam family "Bacterial small subunit ribosomal RNA", at positions 28 to 523 of the family's 1533-position model. The record is from RNAcentral.